Molecule: long non-coding RNA, 133 nt
Organism: Asparagus officinalis (garden asparagus)
Lineage: Eukaryota; Viridiplantae; Streptophyta; Magnoliopsida; Asparagales; Asparagaceae
Exons: 3
Source: RefSeq, a predicted model, not a curated record
GGAACUGUGGGACCAACCUUUGAGAGUGAUUCAUUCACAGCGCCAGUCAUUGGGACUAACCCAAUAUCGAUUCCCGGCAUAUCUAGCUUACCUCGGAGUGACGGACUUGCAGGACCAGCCAUCGGGACUGAUA